This 441-nucleotide ribosomal RNA is filed under the name uncultured bacterium. RNAcentral's name for it is "partial 16S ribosomal RNA". It matches the Rfam family "Bacterial small subunit ribosomal RNA", at positions 338 to 795 of the family's 1533-position model. The record is from RNAcentral.
CCUACGGGUGGCAGCAGUGGGGAAUAUUGCACAAUGGGGGAAACCCUGAUGCAGCGACGCCGCGUGAGCGAUGAAGUAUUUCGGUAUGUAAAGCUCUAUCGGCAGGGAAGAAGCAAGACGGUACCUGACUAAGAAGCCCCGGCUAACUACGUGCCAGGAGCCGCGGUAAUACGUAGGGGGCGAGCGUUAUCCGGAUUCACUGGGUGUAAAGGGAGCGUAGACGGCCAAGCAAGCUAGGGGUGAAAGCCCGGGGCACAACCCCGGGACUGCCCUUGGAACUGCAUGGCUGGAGUGCGGGAGGGGCAGGCGGAAUUCCUGGUGUAGCGGUGAAAUGCGUAGAUAUCAGGAGGAACACCGGCGGCGAAGGCGGCCUGCUGGACCGCGACUGACGUUGAGGCUCGAAAGCGUGGGGAGCGAACAGGAUUAGAUACCCUUGUAGUC